Molecule: transfer RNA, 73 nt
Organism: Corynebacterium sp. KPL1989
Lineage: Bacteria; Bacillati; Actinomycetota; Actinomycetes; Mycobacteriales; Corynebacteriaceae
Rfam family: tRNA
About the family: Transfer RNA (tRNA) molecules are approximately 80 nucleotides in length. Their secondary structure includes four short double-helical elements and three loops (D, anti-codon, and T loops).
Source: Rfam
GCGCCCGUAGCUCAACGGAUAGAGCAUCUGACUACGGAUCAGAAGGUUGGGGGUUCGAAUCCCUCCGGGCGCA